CGACGGGAGCUUGCUCCCUUAGGUCAGCGGCGGACGGGUGAGUAACACGUGGGUAACCUGCCUGUAAGACUGGGAUAACUCCGGGAAACCGGGGCUAAUACCGGAUGCUUGAUUGAACCGCAUGGUUCAAUCAUAAAAGGUGGCUUUUAGCUACCACUUGCAGAUGGACCCGCGGCGCAUUAGCUAGUUGGUGAGGUAACGGCUCACCAAGGCGACGAUGCGUAGCCGACCUGAGAGGGUGAUCGGCCACACUGGGACUGAGACACGGCCUAGACUCCUACGGGAGGCAGCAGUAGGGAAUCUUCCGCAAUGGACGAAAGUCUGACGGAGCAACGCCGCGUGAGUGAUGAAGGUUUUCGGAUCGUAAAACUCUGUUGUUAGGGAAGAACAAGUACCGUUCGAAUAGGGCGGUACCUUGACGGUACCUAACCAGAAAGCCACGGCUAACUACGUGCCAGCAGCCGCGGUAAUACGUAGGUGGCAAGCGUUGUCCGGAAUUAUUGGGCGUAAAGCGCGCGCAGGCGGUUUCUUAAGUCUGAUGUGAAAGCCCCCGGCUCAACCGGGGAGGGUCAUUGGAAACUGGGGAACUUGAGUGCAGAAGAGGAGAGUGGAAUUCCACGUGUAGCGGUGAAAUGCGUAGAGAUGUGGAGGAACACCAGUGGCGAAGGCGACUCUCUGGUCUGUAACUGACGCUG
Molecule: ribosomal RNA, 695 nt
Filed under: uncultured Bacillus sp.
Lineage: Bacteria; Bacillati; Bacillota; Bacilli; Caryophanales; Bacillaceae
Description: bacterial SSU rRNA
Rfam family: Bacterial small subunit ribosomal RNA
Source: RNAcentral